Molecule: long non-coding RNA, 798 nt
Filed under: Homo sapiens (human)
Lineage: Eukaryota; Metazoa; Chordata; Mammalia; Primates; Hominidae
Description: HSALNT0372317
Source: RNAcentral
CUUCAGGAGUGAAGCUGCAGACCUUCGCGUGAUGGAGGUUGAGAAGUCCAACUUCAAGGCACCACAUCUGGUGAGAGCCUUCAUUCCGAUGACAGCCUUCAUGCUGCAACCUGCAGCAGGAAAAUGGGCUUCAGUUUUCAAGUCUGCAGCUGAGUUGGGAAGUUGCGGACAGUAACCAGGAUCGCUGUCCUUAUAAGAAGUGGAAGAAACAUCAGAGAGCUCUCCCUCUCCACACACACAGAGGAAAGGCCACAUGGGGACAAGAGAGGGCAACUGUCUACAAAUCUGGAAGAGAGACUUCAGAAGAAACCAGCACUGAUGGCAUCUGAUCUUGGACUUCCAGCCUCUGGAUCUAUCUGCCAGAGCCUGAUCUCAUACACACUGAUGUGGUACAGGAAAUGCCACCUGAAAAUAUGGUACCUUGGCAUUUGAGGAAACAGUAGAAGGAGGUCAUAGAAACUAGAAAGAAUUCCUCCUUGCUCUUUGUCCCCCAAAGGAGCCAUAAAACCUGGGCCGAGUUUCUUCUGAAAAUAAGUUAUAAGAUCCUUAUUCCAGAGGGGUCCUGCCCUGUGCCUGGAGGAAAAGAAUGAAGACACAGAGAUGCCUUGAAGAAUCUGAACAAACAGCCCUUGCUAAGUUCCCCCCAGUUUAUUGACAUUAGAUUAGACCUUUUGUCCUCCAAUUAUACUUCUGUGUUCCUGAAAAUACACAUUUUCCCGUUUUUUCUUUUGUUUGCUUUUUUUGAUCUUCAUUUCUGAAGAUUCCCAUGUCAUGUAAAAUAUAUGUUAAACAAAUGUG